UCGAGCUGGUCCAUAUAAAGGCAGUUCGAGCGGAAAGACGAAGGAGCUUGCUCCUCUGACGUUAGCGGCGGACGGGUGAGUAACACGUGGAUAACCUACCUAUAAGACUGGGAUAACUUCGGGAAACCGGAGCUAAUACCGGAUAAUAUAUUGAACCGCAUGGUUCAAUAGUGAAAGACGGUUUUGCUGUCACUUAUAGAUGGAUCCGCGCCGCAUUAGCUAGUUGGUAAGGUAACGGCUUACCAAGGCAACGAUGCGUAGCCGACCUGAGAGGGUGAUCGGCCACACUGGAACUGAGACACGGUCCAGACUCCUACGGGAGGCAGCAGUAGGGAAUCUUCCGCAAUGGGCGAAAGCCUGACGGAGCAACGCCGCGUGAGUGAUGAAGGUCUUCGGAUCGUAAAACUCUGUUAUUAGGGAAGAACAAAUGUGUAAGUAACUAUGCACGUCUUGACGGUACCUAAUCAGAAAGCCACGGCUAACUACGUGCCAGCAGCCGCGGUAAUACGUAGGUGGCAAGCGUUAUCCGGAAUUAUUGGGCGUAAAGCGCGCGUAGGCGGUUUUUUAAGUCUGAUGUGAAAGCCCACGGCUCAACCGUGGAGGGUCAUUGGAAACUGGAAAACUUGAGUGCAGAAGAGGAAAGUGGAAUUCCAUGUGUAGCGGUGAAAUGCGCAGAGAUAUGGAGGACACCAGUGGCGAAAGCGACUUUCUGGUCUGUAACUGACGCUGAUGUGCGAAAGCGUGGGGAUCAAACAGGAUUAGAUACUGCUGGUGUUGUUCCCAU
This 784-nucleotide ribosomal RNA is filed under the name Staphylococcus epidermidis. RNAcentral describes it as "bacterial SSU rRNA". It matches the Rfam family "Bacterial small subunit ribosomal RNA", at positions 37 to 800 of the family's 1533-position model. The record is from RNAcentral. Lineage: Bacteria; Bacillati; Bacillota; Bacilli; Caryophanales; Staphylococcaceae.